AGUACGGUCCAGCCUCUUCAUCUUACCCUUUCCUUCUUUUUCUGAGGUCCUGGGGGCUGGACUUGCGCCUUUGAAAACGCUGGGCGUGUGAUCUGCCACCGAGCCAUCUCCCCAGCCCUGUUUGCCCCUGCCAAGAAUAGGAUGUGCCCCACCCACCCCCAACCGUAGCUGCCACAGGUCCUCUAUCCCCCAAUGCGGAAAUGUCAGGCCUACCUGGAAAAUGCUGUAACUGGUUAUUUGCUUAGUGAACACCACAGAAGAGGACACAAGAUAGAAGGCUGAGAGACCAUCUUCUGACCUGACAGCCUCUGCAAUCCUCACCUCAACAGAGCAGCUGCGCUUGUCUGCACCGGCUUGCACACAUCUGGCCCUGUCAACCAUCAGUCAUAGAUGGGAAGGGACUUGGUGCUCUGCCCCUCCCUGCUGGGCACUUUCCCACGACACCUAAAGUCAUCAGUUGUGUGUCCAAGGCCACUGCCGCCGCCACCACUGCCGCCGCCGCCACUGCCGCCGCCGCCGCCACACUCCUUCACUGACACCAGAACCCAGCUUCUUCAAGCCUCUAACACAGAGCGAAGGACUUCAGCACCAGGUGGUGAUGGCCGAGACGCCCAGCUUUGCUGAAGGAGCAGGUACUGGGUGGCGAAGGCAGUGUUGGACGACCCAGACCACAUCAUGUAAGCCCGUCUAAUAAAAGCUUUGAGUAUGUA
Molecule: non-coding RNA, 710 nt
Organism: Cricetulus griseus (Chinese hamster)
Lineage: Eukaryota; Metazoa; Chordata; Mammalia; Rodentia; Cricetidae
Source: RefSeq, a predicted model, not a curated record